RNAcentral lists this transfer RNA (75 nucleotides) under Persicitalea jodogahamensis. Its description in RNAcentral is "tRNA-Arg". It matches the Rfam family "tRNA". Rfam says of the family: Transfer RNA (tRNA) molecules are approximately 80 nucleotides in length. Lineage: Bacteria; Pseudomonadati; Bacteroidota; Cytophagia; Cytophagales; Spirosomataceae. The record is from RNAcentral.
GGUUCUGUAGCUCAAUUGGAUAGAGCACCUGACUACGGAUCAGGAGGUUUGGGGUUCGAAUCCCUACAGAAUCAC